UUUACUUGAAAAAUUAGAGUGUCAAAGCAGGCCUAUGCUCGAAUACAUUAGCAUGGAAUAAUAGAAUAGGACGUGUGGUUCUAUUUUGUUGGUUUCUAGGACCGCCGUAAUGAUUAAUAGGGAUAGUCGGGGGCAUCAGUAUUCAAUUGUCAGAGGUGAAAUUCUUGGAUUUAUUGAAGACUAACUACUGCGAAAGCAUUUGCCAAGGAUGUUUUCAUUAAUCAGUGAACGAAAGUUAGGGGAUCGAAGACGAUCAGAUACCGUCGUAGUCUUAACCAUAAACUAUGCCGACUAGGGAUCGGGCGAUGU
This 309-nucleotide ribosomal RNA is filed under the name Hyaloscypha sp. Its description in RNAcentral is "SSU rRNA". It matches the Rfam family "Eukaryotic small subunit ribosomal RNA", at positions 752 to 1063 of the family's 1831-position model. Lineage: Eukaryota; Fungi; Ascomycota; Leotiomycetes; Helotiales; Hyaloscyphaceae. The record is from RNAcentral.